Small nucleolar RNA from Ochotona princeps (American pika), 69 nucleotides. Its record names the gene SNORD27. It matches the Rfam family "Small nucleolar RNA SNORD27". Rfam says of the family: U27 is a member of the C/D class of snoRNA which contain the C (UGAUGA) and D (CUGA) box motifs. U27 is encoded within the U22 snoRNA host gene (UHG) in mammals and is thought to act as a 2'-O-ribose methylation guide for ribosomal RNA. The record is from Ensembl. NCBI's taxonomy places the organism in Eukaryota, Metazoa, Chordata, Mammalia, Lagomorpha, Ochotonidae.
ACUUAAUGAUGAACGCAAAUGACAAGCAUAUGGCUGACUGGCUGUGAUGUCGACUUUCUACUGAGAAGU